RNAcentral lists this unclassified non-coding RNA (332 nucleotides) under soil metagenome. RNAcentral describes it as "partial contains 5.8S ribosomal RNA, internal transcribed spacer 2, and large subunit ribosomal RNA". The stretch from base 1 to 120 matches the Rfam family "5.8S ribosomal RNA", at positions 35 to 154 of the family's 154-position model. The record is from RNAcentral.
GAUGAAGAACGCAGCGAAAUGCGAUAAGUAGUGUGAAUUGCAGAAUUCAGUGAAUCAUCGAAUCUUUGAACGCACAUUGCGCCCUUUGGUAUUCCUUAUGGCAUGCCUGUUCGAGCGUCAUUUAAACCUUCAAGCUCAGCUUGGUGUUGGGUGACUGUCCGCUUCACCGCGGACUCGCCUCAAAAUUAUUGGCGGCCGGUACAUUGGCUUCGAGCGCAGCAGAAACGCGAACUCGGGCCCGUCGUAUUGGCUCCCAGAAGCUAUCUUCACAAUUUUGACCUCGGAUCAGGUAGGGAUACCCGCUGAACUUAAGCAUAUCAAUAAGCGGAGGA